Patiria miniata (bat star) is the source of this 498-nucleotide long non-coding RNA. RefSeq lists it as uncharacterized. Lineage: Eukaryota; Metazoa; Echinodermata; Asteroidea; Valvatida; Asterinidae. The record is from RefSeq and is a predicted model, not a curated record. The transcript has 3 exons.
AGGAGGACCGACAGAUGAACGGAUGACCUGCUUGCUGGGCUUCCCAUUACUAAUUCUUGAGACAUGAGGACCACUGACUGGUGAGGGAAUUGCCCUAUGAUGGAUGAGCCUGCCUCAAGCUGCCAUAAGCUGGGAGGACCGACGGUUGACUGACACUGCCUGCUUGGUUGGCCAUUACCGAUUCUUGAGAAGAUGAGGACCGCCAAGCUUGGAUGAGACUGGAAAAUUACGAAGCUGCUCUAUCUUGACAACGAUGCCCUCAUCAGACACUUUCCGAUUUGCGGAAUAUUGGAUCAAAAAUCAGACUGCAUAUUAUUUUGCAAUAUUAUAAAACAUCAAAACGACUAAAAUACGAAUUCUUACGCCAAAGAUACCGCUAUAAUUGGAAGAAAUAAUAGCUUAAAUCGCUGUUACUUGUUAACUUUACUGAGAUACCUAUACCUGAAAUAUUUGACAACGAAUAUGACGAAAAUUGAAGAAAAAUAGUCAAAUGUGUGU